This 313-nucleotide long non-coding RNA is filed under the name Lathyrus oleraceus (garden pea). Its description in RNAcentral is "Pisum sativum (pea) long non-coding RNA (PSAT_LNC003945)". Lineage: Eukaryota; Viridiplantae; Streptophyta; Magnoliopsida; Fabales; Fabaceae. The record is from RNAcentral.
GUUAAUUUAAAAAAUUAUUGGUUAAGGGUCUUUGAAAUGGGGUGUUGCGCCCUACUGUAUUUUUUUCAAUAUUUUUUUUAAUCUUUAUUAAUUUUCUUUUAUCUUUUUUUUUAUGUUAUAAGGAUUUAUUUAUUUUGGGCCAUUUGGGCCCAAGUUACUUUGGAUAUUUGGACCCUUACUUAAUUGUUUCUACACUCCUUUAUUUUAUUUAUUUAUCUUUUAUUAUUUUUCUUAUUUGUUCGAUUUAAUUAAUUUAUUUGGAUUAAAUGUCCAUUUGAUUAGUUGUUAGGUUUUAUUAAUUAUUUGUUUUUUU